GAAUCCGCUAAGGAGUGUGUAACAACUCACCUGCCGAAUGAAUUAGCCCUGAAAAUGGAUGGCGCUUAAGCGGGCAGCCGACACCGCGCCGUUCCGGCGAGACGAUGCCGGGAUGAGUAGGAGGGCGUGGCGGUCAGUGACGCAGGCGAGGGUGCAGACCCCGCUGAAACGGCCGCUAGUGCAGAUCUUGGUGGUAGUAGCAAAUAUUCAAGCGAGAUCCUUGAAGGGCGAAGCGGGGAAGGGUUCCACGCAAACAUUGAUUGGGCGUGGGUGAGUCGUUCCUAAGCCGAGUGGCAAUUGCUAAGUAGCGGCGAAAGGGAAGCGGGUUAAAAUUCCCGCACACGGAUAUGGAGGCGGCGACGCAAGCAGAGGCAAAUACGCUGGCGAGGGCGCUGGGCAGAGUUGUCUUUUCUGUUUGACCGGCAUCGCGCUGUGUGGAAUCCGCUUAUCGGGAGAAACACGCGCGGGGAGGGGCAGAGCGUCAGGUCUUUUCUGGCGUCCGGCUCGCCCUCGACGGCCCUUGAAAAUUUGCCCGCGAACUUAAAUUUCAUGCUGUGACGUACCGAUAACCGCAUCAGGUCCCCAAGGUGAACAGCCUCUGCUCAAUAUGAACAAUGCAGGUAAGGGAAGUCGGCA
This 636-nucleotide ribosomal RNA is filed under the name Izziella orientalis. Its description in RNAcentral is "eukaryotic LSU rRNA". It matches the Rfam family "Eukaryotic large subunit ribosomal RNA", at positions 1264 to 1919 of the family's 3401-position model. The record is from RNAcentral. Lineage: Eukaryota; Rhodophyta; Florideophyceae; Nemaliales; Liagoraceae.